This is a long non-coding RNA of Vulpes vulpes (red fox), 832 nucleotides long. Lineage: Eukaryota; Metazoa; Chordata; Mammalia; Carnivora; Canidae. The record is from Ensembl.
AACUUAUCCAAGUCUAUUUAUAGCCAAUACUGAACCAUUUCAUAUUUCACAACUCCCAGUUCAGAAGUGCAAUAACAUUACAACGAUAUAAUUUCAUUUACAGAACCCAUCAUAGCCUUUCUGGUACCUCAGCUACGCGGCUGUGAUGUGAACAAGGUGUUGUAGCUGUCUUUCCACUCCUGCUGGGACAGGACUCCAGGGUUCAUCCCUAAAACAGCUGGGCCAUUGGUAUCUAUUUUAUUCUCUACCCUUUGGUAAGCCUCACACAGUUUAUCAAGCACAGCCCUUGGUCAAGGACUUUUGCAGAAACCCCCCUCCACUCCAGCCUCCAAGCAAACUUUUGGGGUACUGCUCUGUGCAGUCCCUUCUCCUCUGGUGCCUGCCCUGCAGAUUCCAGCUGCCUCAGCUUCCUCAAGUCAGCAGGACCAUCUUGCUCUGCUGAUUCCAUUUCACUGGCUUCAGUACAGAAAUUCCCAAGCAUGGAGACAUGAGCAGAAUGGGAAGCAGAGAUGCUGCCUGAGGAUCCAACCUGGUCCCAUGACUUCCACCUGGCACCAACUCAUUGCUCCCACCUUGCCUGGUCCUCAGCUACCAGAGCCCUCAGCUGCUACUGGAUGUAACUUCUGCAGAACCUAGCCAGCUUUAGAGCCAUCACCUGCUCCAUCUGGCUCAUGGUAUCUUUAUUUUUGAGCCUAAAAACUGAUUAUCAUAAGCAUAAAUGAAGACAUUUGGAAGCCUGCUAACACCUAUAGAAAAGCCCUGACUUUGGAAAGCUUGUAAGGUUGGUAAGUUUGACUUGAUAAUUCCUCAGCUGUCUUCAUUUCAGUGUUUU